GAGAGCUGUAACGAAGUGCUGUCUACAGCGGUGACAACAAACUGCUUUUUGCGAGCGGCACAGUUCUCUCAGUGGAGCCGAAAAAAAGCCCGACCAAGCCCUCGCUGUCUAUACUGUAUCCAGCGGAAGACGGUCAGCCGUUGGCUUGUCUGGCGAAAAGCUUCUUUCCAAAAGCGGGGAGUCUGGUUUUGGGGAGUCAAAAUGGCGACAGGCCACGAGAAGAUUCAACUUCCGCCGAGCAGGCGCUCUUAUCGAACCAGAUCGGGUUGUAUUACCUGGCGGGGUUUUUCGACACGAACGUCAAGCCUCUGUACUGCGAAAUGAAUGGAACCCGCCGAAACAUCACAAACAGACUCCAGGACUCGGAGCAGAACGAUCUUUUUGAUACUUUUUCUUCUGAAAAUGAAAAUUGUGCUCUCCCCAACGCUGGAAAACCAGAUUCUUCAGAUAUUGUCAAAGUCAAUUUCAUGUCUUUGACUGUGAACGGGUUAAGAAUCCUGUUUGCGAAAACUGUGACUUUCAAUAUGCUGAUGACUGUGAGAGCCGUUGCAUUUUGAGAUGUCUUGAGCUGCAGCACCCAUUGGGAAGACCAGAGACUGAAACGGCAGUAUUGAGUGGAAUUGAGAAGCAGGAACUGUUCCAAUUUUGCAUAUAUCUAUAGGGAAUAAUGUAAUCUAGCAUGAAACAAUAUCUGAAAUAGUUUUGUGCCUAUGUUUUCUUACAUCAUGAAUUGUACAUUUGUCAUGAGAUUUGUUUUGCUGUCUUUUUUCACACUUGUUUGUUUAAGUUGUAGAUCUCGCAAAUAAAUCAGCUUUUCUUUCUGAAA
Molecule: non-coding RNA, 826 nt
Organism: Lepisosteus oculatus (spotted gar)
Lineage: Eukaryota; Metazoa; Chordata; Actinopteri; Semionotiformes; Lepisosteidae
Source: RefSeq, a predicted model, not a curated record